Molecule: long non-coding RNA, 256 nt
Filed under: Physcomitrium patens
Lineage: Eukaryota; Viridiplantae; Streptophyta; Bryopsida; Funariales; Funariaceae
Description: long non-coding RNA (PPAT_LNC001004)
Source: RNAcentral
AUUCACAAGCCAGGCCUAGAAACAAUGCAGAGCUGCCCUACAUUCCUUGCAAGCAACACAAGGCACAGUCCUUUGCUUGAUGUACAAAUUAAUGUGGGAGGAUCGAAUGUGUGCCUAGUGUGUUAGAAUGAAAGUUUAUCGUCAUCGAAUUCCGUGGAAUUCAGGGAUGGCAUAGUUCUUUAAUUAUCUUACUCCUUCCUUCCCCUGAGCGAUUGUGAGAACUGAUCAGAUUGAAUCACCAGAUGUCUGCUUCUCC